RNAcentral lists this ribosomal RNA (786 nucleotides) under Coccotrypes dactyliperda. Its description in RNAcentral is "eukaryotic LSU rRNA". It matches the Rfam family "Eukaryotic large subunit ribosomal RNA", at positions 547 to 943 of the family's 3401-position model. The record is from RNAcentral. Lineage: Eukaryota; Metazoa; Arthropoda; Insecta; Coleoptera; Curculionidae.
GGGGUAAACUGAAAACCGAAAGGUCGAAGGGAGAAAUUCAUUCGCGUUUCGACGUAGGCGUGGGACGGGGUCGAAGCGACGGGACACGUUCUUCGGAGCGGGUUUCGCGCCCUCCGUUCUUCGAACCGGCGGCGAACGCGUGCACUUUUCUCCUGGUAGGACGUCGCGAUCCGUCGGGUGUCGGUCUACGACUUGCGGUGGAGCCCGCCCGUCGUCUCGUACGUACGGACGGACCCGCUCGUUCCGGCCGACUCGCUCGACGGUAUACGUACGGUCGGAGGCCGCUCGUUUUUAGGAGCGUUCGACUCGUCGCAAGCGCGCCACGUGCGUCGGCACGCGGACCCGGUGCCGCGUCCGACCUCUGGUGACUGUUGGCGACGAAGUUCUCGGACAGACCUCAAGACCGAUCGGCGACGCUAUAGCUUUGGGUAAUUUCAGGACCCUUCUUGAAACACGGACCAAGGAGUCUAGCAUGUACGCGAGUCAUUGGGAAUCACUAAACCUAAAGGCGUAAUGAAAGUGAAGGUCUUCCUUGCGGAGACCGAGGGAAGACGGACGGUUACGUUAAACCGCCCUCAAAAGUGGGACCGUCCUGCAUUCCCGGGGCGUCUCGUUCACAUCGCGUGAAGAGGCGCACCAAGAGCGUACACGCUGGGACCCGAAAGAUGGUGAACUAUGCCUGGUCAGGACGAAGUCAGGGGAAACCCUGAUGGAGGUCCGUAGCGAUUCUGACGUGCAAAUCGAUCGUCGGAACUGGGUAUAGGGGCGAAAGACUAAUCGAACCAU